AUAAAACCAUAUUACUAGAAUAUGACAUAGUAGUCUGGAGAUCUUAUUGAUAGUAGUAGGCUUGAGUGAAGGAUUUGUCAAGGUCCUUGUUUAAUCAUCGAUGAGAUUAAGAAACAUAUCAAAGAUGAGAUGUGGUAUCUGCUGAUGGCAUUGAUAAGACUGCCAAAAAAAAAAAAUGAUUAAUAAAUUUAUAUGAUUACCUAUCAAAAAAAGAACAUUCAUAAGAUUGCAAAGGGAAUAAAAGUGCAAAAGAUAACAUUAGGAGAUUUCUCUAGACUCUCCACGCACAAGCUUUUUUUUUUUUGACGUCUCGUGAUCACAAAUGUCUCUGGCUGGGGGCUGGGGAGUGGAAAAUUUCUUGAAUUAUUAGCGAGAAGAAAAUAUACCCAUCACUGCAUACAUUUUGAUUCUAUAAGAUAAUGAUUAUCUCUAUCACGAAACAAAGGAGAAAGAUAACAUGCAGAUAAUGUGGAAGGAUUGGAUUACCUUUUGAUGUUCUUUACCUCGUAAUGGAAGCUCUGCGGACAGAUGAUCAGGAUCAAUUUUAGCAGGUGCCUAAUGCUUCAAACUGACAUCAUAAAAUGCUCCCUUAAAACUAGCUUGUGGUUUAUACACUUCAACCUUUUCAAAGAGCUGUACACCACAUACAAAGGUGAUAAUAUGCCUUGAACUACUUUUAAUGAUGCAGAUAUAUAUGAUGAUUUGAUAUCUCGGAGGGUUCACUUUAGUGAUGCUGAGAAGUUUGCAGAACUUUGCCCUUGCCCUUGUAAUAGUGCUUUGUGUUUUUAUAGUUAAAGAUGUGAAUAUUUGGG
This 812-nucleotide long non-coding RNA is filed under the name Olea europaea (common olive). RNAcentral describes it as "long non-coding RNA (OEUR_LNC012700)". The record is from RNAcentral. Lineage: Eukaryota; Viridiplantae; Streptophyta; Magnoliopsida; Lamiales; Oleaceae.